Molecule: non-coding RNA, 88 nt
Organism: Mycena leptocephala
Lineage: Eukaryota; Fungi; Basidiomycota; Agaricomycetes; Agaricales; Mycenaceae
Source: the annotation of a GenBank genome assembly
GUGGACGUGGUGCACGGUGCACUCCUUUCUUUCAUGUUGCCCAAGAAGAGCGUUGAAGGCUAUCGGGGUUCGACUCCCCGCGUCCGCA